GGAUCCAGACUUUGAUUCUGGCUCAGGAUGCACGCUAGCUACAGGCUUAACACAUGCAAGUCGAGGGGAAACGAUAGAGAAAGCUUGCUUUUUCUAGGCGUCGACCGGCGCACGGGUGAGUAACGCGUAUCCAACCUGCCCACCACUUGGGGAUAACCUUGCGAAAGUAAGACUAAUACCCAAUGAUAUCUCUAGAAGACAUCUGAAAGGGAUUAAAGAUUUAUCGGUGAUGGAUGGGGAUGCGUCUGAUUAGCUUGUUGGCGGGGUAACGGCCCACCAAGGCGACGAUCAGUAGGGGUUCUGAGAGGAAGGUCCCCCACAUUGGAACUGAGACACGGUCCAAACUCCUACGGGAGGCAGCAGUGAGGAAUAUUGGUCAAUGGGCGAGAGCCUGAACCAGCCAAGUAGCGUGCAGGAUGACGGCCCUAUGGGUUGUAAACUGCUUUUAUAAGGGAAUAAAGUGAGAGUCGUGACUCUUUUUGCAUGUACCUUAUGAAUAAGGACCGGCUAAUUCCGUGCCAGCAGCCGCGGUAAUACGGAAGGUCCGGGCGUUAUCCGGAUUUAUUGGGUUUAAAGGGAGCGUAGGCCGGAGAUUAAGCGUGUUGUGAAAUGUAGAUGCUCAACAUCUGCACUGCAGCGCGAACUGGUUUCCUUGAGUACGCACAAAGUGGGCGGAAUUCGUGGUGUAGCGGUGAAAUGCUUAGAUAUCACGAAGAACUCCGAUUGCGAAGGCAGCUCACUGGAGCGCAACUGACGCUGAAGCUCGAAAGUGCGGGUAUCGAACAGGAUUAGAUACCCUGGUAGUCCGCACGGUAAACGAUGGAUGCCCGCUGUUGGUCUGAAUAGGUCAGCGGCCAAGCGAAAGCAUUAAGCAUCCCACCUGGGGAGUACGCCGGCAACGGUGCAACUCAAAUGAAUUGACGG
RNAcentral lists this ribosomal RNA (924 nucleotides) under uncultured Bacteroidota bacterium. RNAcentral describes it as "bacterial SSU rRNA". It matches the Rfam family "Bacterial small subunit ribosomal RNA", at positions 1 to 916 of the family's 1533-position model. Lineage: Bacteria; Pseudomonadati; Bacteroidota. The record is from RNAcentral.